GACGGAGGGUGCAAGCGUUGUCCGGAAUUAUUGGGCGUAAAGAGCUCGUAGGCGGCUUGUCACGUCGGGUGUGAAAGACCGGGGCUUAACUCCGGUUCUGCAUUCGAUACGGGCUAGCUAGAGUGUGGUAGGGGAGAUCGGAAUUCCUGGUGUAGCGGUGAAAUGCGCAGAUAUCAGGAGGAACACCGGUGGCGAAGGCGGAUCUCUGGGCCAUUACUGACGCUGAGGAGCGAAAGCGUGGGGAGCGAACAGG
Molecule: ribosomal RNA, 253 nt
Filed under: uncultured bacterium
Lineage: Bacteria
Description: partial 16S ribosomal RNA
Rfam family: Bacterial small subunit ribosomal RNA
Source: RNAcentral